GAUGAACGCUGGCGGCGUGCCUAAUACAUGCAAGUCGAGCGAACGGACGAGAAGCUUGCUUCUCUGAUGUUAGCGGCGGACGGGUGAGUAACACGUGGAUAACCUACCUAUAAGACUGGGAUAACUUCGGGAAACCGGAGCUAAUACCGGAUAAUAUUUUGAACCGCAUGGUUCAAAAGUGAAAGACGGUCUUGCUGUCACUUAUAGAUGGAUCCGCGCUGCAUUAGCUAGUUGGUAAGGUAACGGCUUACCAAGGCAACGAUGCAUAGCCGACCUGAGAGGGUGAUCGGCCACACUGGAACUGAGACACGGUCCAGACUCCUACGGGAGGCAGCAGUAGGGAAUCUUCCGCAAUGGGCGAAAGCCUGACGGAGCAACGCCGCGUGAGUGAUGAAGGCCUUUGGAUCGUAAAACUCUGUUAUUAGGGAAGAACAUAUGUGUAAGUAACUGUGCACAUCUUGACGGUACCUAAUCAGAAAGCCACGGCUAACUACGUG
This 497-nucleotide ribosomal RNA is filed under the name uncultured bacterium. RNAcentral's name for it is "partial 16S ribosomal RNA". It matches the Rfam family "Bacterial small subunit ribosomal RNA", at positions 28 to 507 of the family's 1533-position model. The record is from RNAcentral.